RNAcentral lists this unclassified non-coding RNA (404 nucleotides) under uncultured Ascomycota. Its description in RNAcentral is "sequence contains ITS2". The stretch from base 1 to 159 matches the Rfam family "5.8S ribosomal RNA". Lineage: Eukaryota; Fungi; Ascomycota. The record is from RNAcentral.
AACUUUCAGCAACGGAUCACUUGGCUCUGGCAUCGAUGAAGAACGCAGCGAAAUGCGAUACGUAAUGCGAAUUGCAGAACCCAAAAAAGUGAAUCAUCGAAUCUUUGAACGCACAUUGCGCCCUGUAUCUUUUUACAGGGCAUGCCUAUUCGAGCGUCAUUACAACACUUGAACUUUAUCUGUUUAGUAUUGGGCUUAGCGAAGAUUUGAUUCUCGCUGGUCUUAAAUGCAUUGGCGGUUUUGACAUCUCUCAAAGCAUAGUAAAAAACUAUUCUUGCUUUAAGCGCUGAAAAUUCCACCUAGAAAGUCUUUGAAAGCAAAUCAAGCAUUCAAAAACUUCUUAGUUUGACCUCGGAUUAGGUAGGGAUACCCGCUGAACUUAAGCAUAUCAAUAAGCGGAGGCU